AACGAACGCUGGCGGCAUGCCUAACACAUGCAAGUCGAACGAGACCUUCGGGUCUAUUGGCGCACGGGUUCGUAACGCGUUGGAACCUUCCCUUAGGUUCGGAAUAACUCCCCUAAAUGGGUGCUAAUACCGGAUAUUUUCUUCGGCCCAAAGAUUUAUCGCCUUUGGAGGGGCCCGCGUUGGAUUAGCUUGUUGGUAGGGUAAAAGCAUACCAAGGCCACGAUCCAUAGCUGGUAUGAGAGGAUGAUAAGCCACACUGGGACUGAGACACGGCCCAGACUACUACGGGAGGAAGCAGUGGGGAAUAGAGGAAAAUGGGCGAAAGGAUGAUAAAGCAAUGACGGGAGAGAGAUGAAGGGAUUAGGGUAGUAAAGCAAAUUUAAAAGGGAAGAUAAUGACAGUAACGGGAGAAUAAGCGCCGGCUAACUCCGUG
RNAcentral lists this ribosomal RNA (433 nucleotides) under uncultured bacterium. Its description in RNAcentral is "partial 16S ribosomal RNA". It matches the Rfam family "Bacterial small subunit ribosomal RNA", at positions 29 to 507 of the family's 1533-position model. The record is from RNAcentral.